CAGCUCCGACGGGAGCAGGGGAGUGCUCCGGAGGUCCCCUAGCACCACGAACUUAGACCAAGAACUUCGGGGUUCCUUGCCUAUACUCGCUGCCAGACCCCCUCAGGUUUCUCCCACUGUUGUCCACUCCGCCCAGCGCGUGCAUGGUGGACCCCGAUUUGCUGCCCCCAGCGCCCAGCCCCCAGCAGGCCGGACUGUCGAAGGGCCCUGGCAGUUCGCGGAAGUCCGGCGUUCGCCCCAACGCCGGUACUGCCGCCCGCAAAGCCACUCUGGGGACCGCUCCCAAUACCAAGGAAGCUAGCUAUUGAGGGCCAGGUCAGUCCGCAACUCAGCGCCCGGAGCGAGGCCAGUGACAAGGGUGCCCCUGUACAGAGUCUUCAAUCCCCAGACGGCAACUCGAAGCCCAUCUGAGUAGGCCAGCAGCCGGCUCCCUCCCUCUAACCCUGCCCUCCGUCUACCUCCACCUGGCCUACCUGUACAUUUGGGGCAGCGCCUACCUGGAGAUUGACUUUUUCCCCGGGUACUCCGUACUAAGUCACCAGCGGCCAAGCCCGGCGCAAGGAAGAGGGCGAGAGGGGCCCUGCGGAGCGGGCUACUGAACACGCAAGUAGCAGUGGGACUAUGACCUCCAGAUGACCCUGAUACUCACCUUGUAUUGCGUGGCGACGCACAAAUAAUGAGAAGCGAAGAGACGCACAAGUGGUAGGAGCAGGUGGCGCAAGCCCGGCACCAGGUGUUGGGCUUCAAGGUGCUGGAAGCAGCACAGCAGCUUCCACACAGAUCGAGGGCUUGCCGCCUUACACGGUGAAAUGCUAGCCCAGACCCAGACAUCUGGAAAUCCACACCUUCGUUUCACAAUCUACAAUCUACCGCUGUGCUGGGAUUCACCUGCGUCAGAAUAAACCAGGUAAAUCCAGGAAAAGUUGGAUAUGGGGCCUGGCUUUCAAAUAUGGAAUUCUAAAUGAGGACAGUAUGCCUCUUCUCAGAAUCAGCAUUUUGGAAUGAAUAGGAACCUAGGAAGCCAUAGGUUAAAAAUGAAGAGAAAAUCAUGAAGAUAGUUGUGCUAUGACCUCCAAGUAGGUA
This is a long non-coding RNA of Neofelis nebulosa (Clouded leopard), 1083 nucleotides long. RefSeq lists it as uncharacterized. The transcript is spliced from 3 exons. The record is from RefSeq and is a predicted model, not a curated record. NCBI's taxonomy places the organism in Eukaryota, Metazoa, Chordata, Mammalia, Carnivora, Felidae.